CGAGAAUAGAGACGCUGCUGUUUUUAAUACCGUUAUAAUUAAUUUAAUGGUAAUUUUUUAAAUUAAAUUAAUCUUUAAGGAGUGUCAUGGUUUGUUUGUCGACAGGAUUUUCUUUUCUUUUUUUUAAGUUUCGUGCAGUGUUCAUUGUUAAGUGGCUUCUCUGUAUUAUUAAUGAAACGUGUAGAGAUGAUUUCUUUACACAAUAUUAUCGAUGUCUUCUUGUUGGCGACACAGCACGACUACAGUCGUUUGCGUUGGCAUUGAGGCGCCAGAAAUCUUAUUUGGCGUUUUGACUCGGCGUGGCUUCUUACAACGAAUUAAUUGUUAGAAAUUAAACGUCGCUUUGGUUAAAUUUUUUAAAACAUUUUUCUAAUAAUUAAAAAAUCUGUUUGAAGCCGUUGAUGCGCUCUGUUUCAGUAAUUUUUCAUUUGAGCCAGACGAAUAACAUUUUUGUUUGUUGUCGGAGC
This 467-nucleotide long non-coding RNA is filed under the name Androctonus crassicauda. The record is from RNAcentral. Lineage: Eukaryota; Metazoa; Arthropoda; Arachnida; Scorpiones; Buthidae.